RNAcentral lists this ribosomal RNA (401 nucleotides) under Hemichordata sp. BOLD:ADE2356. Its description in RNAcentral is "partial 16S ribosomal RNA". It matches the Rfam family "Bacterial large subunit ribosomal RNA", at positions 2007 to 2597 of the family's 2925-position model. The record is from RNAcentral. Lineage: Eukaryota; Metazoa; Hemichordata.
AGGGUCUAACUGUCUCCUCUCUACCCUACAAAACUUCUCUGGUGGUGCAAAAGCCGCCAUAUAAGCGCCAGACGAGAAGACCCUAUCGAGCUUAAAAACCAGAAAGAAUGGACUUCAUUAAAGCAGGAAACCUCCUUCUUUUCCCACUUUCUUUUACGUUUUUUGGUUGGGGCAACCGCGGAGACUACUCAACCUCCGCACUGAAAUCUUAAGACUUCGAGUCAAAAACGGAAAAGUGAUCCGGUACACCCGAACAAUGAAAAAAGUUACCGUAGGGAUAACAGCGUAAUCCCUCCUGAGAGCCCACAUUGACGGAGGGGCUUGCGACCUCGAUGUUGGAUCGGGAAACCCUGAUGGUGCAGCCGCUAUCAAAGGUUGGUCUGUUCGACCAUUAAAACCCC